RNAcentral lists this ribosomal RNA (881 nucleotides) under uncultured bacterium. RNAcentral's name for it is "bacterial SSU rRNA". It matches the Rfam family "Bacterial small subunit ribosomal RNA", at positions 89 to 974 of the family's 1533-position model. The record is from RNAcentral.
UGACGACCGGCGCACGGGUGCGUAACGCGUAUAGAACCUACCUUUUACAGGAGAGUAGCCCAGAGAAAUUUGGAUUAAUGCUCCAUAGUAUUGUUGGAUGGCAUCGUUUAACAAUUAAAGAUUUAUCGGUAAGAGAUGGCUAUGCGUUCUAUUAGUUAGUUGGUAAGGUAACGGCUUACCAAGACAUCGAUAGAUAGGGGUCCUGAGAGGGAGAUCCCCCACACUGGUACUGAGACACGGACCAGACUCCUACGGGAGGCAGCAGUGAGGAAUAUUGGACAAUGGGCGGGAGCCUGAUCCAGCCAUGCCGCGUGCAGGAAGACUGCCCUAUGGGUUGUAAACUGCUUUUGUAUAGGAAGAAACGUAGCUACGUGUAGCUAUUUGACGGUACUAUAAGAAUAAGGAUCGGCUAACUCCGUGCCAGCAGCCGCGGUAAUACGGAGGAUCCAAGCGUUAUCCGGAAUCAUUGGGUUUAAAGGGUCCGUAGGUGGGUUUAUAAGUCAGUGGUGAAAGUUUGCGGCUUAACCGUAAAAUUGCCAUUGAUACUGUAGAUCUUGAAUGCUUGUGAAGUGGUUAGAAUAAGUAGUGUAGCGGUGAAAUGCAUAGAUAUUACUUAGAAUACCGAUUGCGAAGGCAAAUCACUAACAGGUUAUUGACACUGAUGGACGAAAGCGUGGGUAGCGAACAGGAUUAGAUACCCUGGUAGUCCACGCCGUAAACGAUGGAUACUAGUUGUUUGGCGAAAGCUGAGUGACUAAGCGAAAGUGAUAAGUAUCCCACCUGGGGAGUACGUUCGCAAGAAUGAAACUCAAAGGAAUUGACGGGGCCCGCACAAGCGGUGGAGCAUGUGGUUUAAUUCGAUGAUACGCGAGGAACCUUAC